GUGAUUGCCAUCUAUAUUGAAAUAUCAAACUCAAAACAAACUUAGAAUGCUGAAACGUUGGUUCCCUGAUAUCAAAAUCAGAACGGCUGAAAUUAAAACUGAAUCUCAUGUAUUAGACCUGAACAUAACUUUCCCGUUGAAUUCCAGUAUUGGUUCUAAAAAAGAGCUUCAAGUUCAUAUUACAUUCUAAUUUUAACCAUUCAAACUAAUAUAAUACUAACUCUACUAACAAUUAACAUGAGAUCCGACCUUAAAUUAGUAAACUACUAGGAAAAAUAUUCACAAUAUGCUGAAAACAGUUCAAAUAAUUGAAGACAAUCCUAUUAAUACAAAUGAGACCGUUAUCCAAAUAACAUUAUUAAAGUAAGUAUCUAAGCUAAUUAACAAUAGCUAACUUCAUGUGAAAACAAACAGUUCCUCAUUAUUUAACUUCGAAUAUGUUCGUACGUAUUGAUCCAGUCUUCAACAUUACUUGGGGCUGAAAUGUACCUUGAAAUUAGAUCAAAAUAAAGAGGAUUGCAGGUCAGCUAGGCAGCAAUGAAUCAACAGUAAUAAGGUCAGUUUGAACUGAAAAUACUAUCAUAGCAACCCAGGGAUUAAUUGCAGAGAAACAGCACCAACAGACAACCAAAAACAAACUUAAUAGAGCUUGAAAUAACACCCAGACUUCUGAAAUUCUACUGCCGGAAUUCAGAACUUGCAGUGUAACUAAAUUGAAGAUCUAAACUCUAAGAUGGUCAACAAAUUUUCAUAUUUGCAGUAGUUUUUGUUGAUUUUCAGUAUUGGCUUUCAACUUUCAAAGUUUUUGAUUUUUGUUUUUUUGUUUUUUUGGAUUUUCACAUCUGUGUCUACUUCUCAAAUCUUUUGAAUUUGAAUUUCAAAUUAUUUGGAUACCUCUAACUUUGCUUGCAAGGCAGGUAGACUCCCUUUUAUAGGCAACAUGCAGAUUUUAUUUUACACCUCUAGGUCCUUCUUUUAUUUUUUAGUUUUAACUAAUUAGUCCCUGAUAGACUGACUUCUUACCCAAGUUAGAUGACUAAGUUUCUAAAAUUCUAAUUGGAACCCCAUCUAGAAUGUUCUAGGGGUUUUCAAUUUCAGUUACUAUAUGAUUCUCUUGCCUAAAAUACCUAAAUUACCCUUGAACUAUUUAUGAAAUCACCAACCUAUGCUAACUAACCCCAGCCCCUUUUUACCCUGGUCAAAAUUGACUAUGGUUAAUUAACAAAGACCCUAACACUUUCAGCAAUAAUCAAGCAAUACUUGAGUUAAUCAAAACUUCAAAAAUUAAACUAAACCUAAUUUUAACCCUAAGUUAGUCCCUAACAUUUCAAGCUAAUCCAUUAUUGGCAAAAUAGCAAUCGACAAUACUACGUCAUGAAUUUAAACUGACAUCACUACGAAUUAGAGAAGAAUCUAUAAAUUAACUAAUCUGCAAAAAAUGCAAUACUAACUACUGCCAAACAAACAAAAAUAAAAAAUAAAGCAUUUGGACCUAAGAAUUUGGGGAAAGAAUCAGCAACUUAGAACUUCUAGGGUUCUGCAAAUCUACGAUCUGAAAUUGAAGAAAAUCCUGUGAGAUUUAGAGGAAACUAGUUAGAGGUUUGGGAAGAGGGAGAUGAAGAAAGACAAGGGUGUAAUUUUGGUGAGGUUUGGGAGCGGCGCCGCCACAAGAGAACAAAGGCGGCGACGGGUUCAUGGUUUGAAACGAAGAUUCGAGGGGUUUGGGAGAGUUUUAAAGAAAACUGAACUUGGAUUUGGAAUGAGGAGGAGGAGGAGGAGAAGGUCUGAUGUAAAUUUGGGAGUCACCGGAAUAGUUUGUGUCAUCGCCGCCGGCAGACUUAACGGAGAAUGUUAGGGCCGCUGGCUUCUCUAGGGUUUGGAAAGAUAGAGACGGAAUGGGGGGUCUGAAGGGGGUAGGUGUCGUUCGGACAAUUUUAUACAUAUGGAUGGGGCUUCAGGACCGUUAGAUCACAUAACAUCGAUGGUCCUGAUUGCUUGAAUCUAAAACAACGUCGUUUUGGCACUACAGGGCUGGACCGGGUUUCUGAGAUGGGUUUGGUCCAAUUUUGAGGGUGUUUGGAUGGGGCCGGCCCAAAAC
Molecule: long non-coding RNA, 2098 nt
Filed under: Nicotiana benthamiana
Lineage: Eukaryota; Viridiplantae; Streptophyta; Magnoliopsida; Solanales; Solanaceae
Description: long non-coding RNA (NBEN_LNC022224)
Source: RNAcentral